UCUCCUGGAAACGGGUGGUAAUGCCGGAUGCUCCAGUUGAUCGCAUGGUCUUCUGGGAAAGCUUUCGCGGUAUGGGAUGGGGUCGCGUCCUAUCAGCUUGACGGCGGGGUAACGGCCCACCGUGGCUUCGACGGGUAGCCGGCCUGAGAGGGCGACCGGCCACAUUGGGACUGAGAUACGGCCCAGACUCCUACGGGAGGCAGCAGUGGGGAAUAUUGCACAAUGGGCGCAAGCCUGAUGCAGCGACGCCGCGUGAGGGAUGGAGGCCUUCGGGUUGUAAACCUCUUUUAUCGGGGAGCAAGCGAGAGUGAGUUUACCCGUUGAAUAAGCACCGGCUAACUACGUGCCAGCAGCCGCGGUAAUACGUAGGGUGCAAGCGUUAUCCGGAAUUAUUGGGCGUAAAGGGCUCGUAGGCGGUUCGUCGCGUCCGGUGUGAAAGUCCAUCGCUUAACGGUGGAUCCGCGCCGGGUACGGGCGGGCUUGAGUGCGGUAGGGGAGACUGGAAUUCCCGGUGUAACGGUGGAAUGUGUAGAUAUCGAAAAAAAACACCA
Molecule: ribosomal RNA, 551 nt
Filed under: Bifidobacterium longum subsp. suillum
Lineage: Bacteria; Bacillati; Actinomycetota; Actinomycetes; Bifidobacteriales; Bifidobacteriaceae
Description: bacterial SSU rRNA
Rfam family: Bacterial small subunit ribosomal RNA
Source: RNAcentral